Piliocolobus tephrosceles (Ugandan red Colobus) is the source of this 1153-nucleotide long non-coding RNA. RefSeq lists it as uncharacterized. The record is from RefSeq and is a predicted model, not a curated record. NCBI's taxonomy places the organism in Eukaryota, Metazoa, Chordata, Mammalia, Primates, Cercopithecidae. The transcript has 2 exons.
UGGCCCAUCUCAGAUCUGGUCUUGCUUGAGCUACGCAAAUGCCUCUCAGGGAGACGCAAGGACCUGUCUAUUAUAAUGACCAGGCCUACAUCCAUGGGAGCAGCAGACUUUCAUCUAUUAGCCCUUUUCAACCAUUGAUCUACUAAACUGGAAACACCCUGAACCCGCCACCUUGCUCCCGGCAGCUAGAGCCCUGUCGAGCAUGACUGUGUAGAGGUGUUGGACUCCAGUGUACUCUAGCAGCCCUCAUCUCUGGGACCAGCCUUGGGCAUCAGUAGACUGGGAGCUAUACGUGGACGGGAACAGCUUCAUCAACCCACAAGGAGAGAGAGGUGCAGAAUAUGUGGUGGUCACCCUGGACACUGUCGUUAAGCUGAGCUCAUUGCUUUAAUUCGGGCCUUAGAACUCAGUGAAGAUGAGAUAUAGAGGCUCAGAGAAGCAGUAUUAACCUGGCACCAAAGUCUCCUAGCUCUUCUGGGGCCAGGCCCGGGAAAGAGGUGAGAAUGGACACCUGGCACCGACUGCUGGCCCCAGUGACUCUAUUUUCUUAGCCCCGAAUCACACUCGUCAUCUGACCCACCGUUUCAGCAGGUGUGGAACAUCCUGGACUCUUGGAUGUACUGCUGCAUCUUCUAGAGAGUGAGGCGUUCGGUUGCCCUCCUGAGAGCUCAACAGCCUGGCAUGAAGGCAGGGACUGUGUACUGUACCGCCAGUACCAGAGGUGGGAGGUACCCAGGGUUGUGGAAUGAAUGAAUACAUUCACAGGCCCACAGGAAGACUGCAAGAGCUCCACUUGAGUUGACCAAGGAUGUUACCUAAGCCCUCAGAACUGCUGCUAAUUCUCCCAGCAGAAGGAGGCGACUGUCGGAAACUAGGAGGUGCUUGGUGAUAAUGGAAUAAAGGUUUUCUCUCUGCAGAGCUGUCUGGACCACACAGGGGUCACACUUAGAUCUGAUCGUAACAUAGCUCCACCUGGACAAGCUGUUUCUUCCAACCCUCUUUCCAGCUUGAAUCACAUCAUUACCUUUAAGAAUUUUCCAUUAGUUUUAGUUUCCUGCUAACUGACAUCUUCACUAUAUAAAAUAUUGGUAUAAAAAUACUGUGUACCAAGAUUUGAUACAACUAGCAAAUGUUCAUUGGUUUACAACAAACC